GCAGGAACAAUGGCGCUGUCUUCAGUGGCACAGUGGAGCAGCUCUGAAGAUGCAAAGAUACACGAAAAAACUUCCAGAACAUCUGGGAGAAUAUUUAAUGGAAAAUCGCUUGGUUAAAACCUGACACUUUUAACAGUGAACAGCGUUCUGAGUGUGGACGAGUAGCCAGUGAAGAUAAUGAAUGUCGAAUGUGACUGACUAGCAGCUUCAUUUUGAAUGAGGGUCGCUGUCUGCCCAUUGAUAGAGGCCAGAUUGUCUUGGAAGUUCCAAAGUUGCAACGAUUUCUGUAAGUGGAGUUUUUCUGUUUGCUUAGAGAUCAGUGAAUAUUGUGUCCUUGGUCUUAUCUGUGAUGAUCUUAUCCCGAACCUGAACUUCUGUUGA
Molecule: long non-coding RNA, 381 nt
Filed under: Homo sapiens (human)
Lineage: Eukaryota; Metazoa; Chordata; Mammalia; Primates; Hominidae
Description: non-protein coding SNHG5:48
Rfam family: Small nucleolar RNA SNORD50 (bases 342-381)
Source: RNAcentral